Lycium barbarum (goji berry) is the source of this 10774-nucleotide long non-coding RNA. RefSeq lists it as uncharacterized. The transcript has 6 exons. The record is from RefSeq and is a predicted model, not a curated record. NCBI's taxonomy places the organism in Eukaryota, Viridiplantae, Streptophyta, Magnoliopsida, Solanales, Solanaceae.
AUCCGUCAAUUUACCAAACAAAAGAACCAACAGACCCAAACGAUCCAUAAGGCUUUUUUCAACGUAAGCCACAGCUGUUCACGAUCGUUUUUGGCAAAGUUCAGCACGCGUUUUCACCAUAGCAGCCUUUGAUUCACCAUUUUGGGUUCAAAUGGAUUCAUGAGCAAUCCGACUUGUCCCACAUCGCUAUUUUUCCUCAACCCAACAUUUGGGGUUCUAUAAAUAGAACCCUCUCUCUUCAUUCUGGGAGGAUAAGUUUUUAAACCCCCAAGUUCUGAACUCUUCAAUUUUCAGCUUUAGACAAGAAAUUUCCUCUUGUAAGCUAAGUUUUUGAAUCGUCGGAACAAGUUAAAAUUUUUUGGAGUUCGAGUCGGUUCCUUGUGGUUCAAAGGUCGAAGGUGAUCGUUUCAACUCUCGUUGCCCCCAUCACUGCUAGGCAAAAGGGUAACUUUCCUUCUUGUCUUAGUAUUCUUAUUUUCUUUAGUUCUGUGUUUCAAUUAAUUUUUUUUUUUUGAUUAAGCACCGGGUGUCCGGGUCUCUUUGAGCCCCAACUAAUCCCGGGGGUGCACAGGCCCUCGGCAAGGAGUUUCCCGCAAGUGCACCACGGGUAAUUCAGGGUUUUACCCCAGUCCGAUGGCCCUCAGAAAUUGUUUGCACCCAGUGGGUUUCGAACUUGAGACCUUGAAAGGGAGCAAACCCCAAGGCUCAAGCCAAUUACCACCGGGCCAACCCCUGAGGGUUUCAAGUAAAUUUGUUUAGCUUCAUUUUCGUUUUAGACGUUUAGAUUCCUCUUAAAUGUUUAUUUCAUAUGAUGCAGUUUUUUUUUUUUUUUUUAAGUUUUGAGUUGUUUAGGUUCCCUUUCAAUCCUAUUUUCCAGUUCUGUUGUUUUUGAAUUCGCGUAGGUUAACUUAGUUUGUUUUCGUUUAAUUUAGACAGUAAUUCUCUUCCUCAUCUUAGUAUUGUUUUCAUUUAGUUCUGUUUGUUUUCAAAUUCCUGUAGCUUAGUUCUGUUUUAAUUUUGUUUCUGCUUUAGUAUGUAAUCCUCAAUCCUUUCCCUUUCAAUUUCAGCCUUUAAUUCUGAUUAUUAUGUGAUAUUUGUGGUUAUUGAGUAAUUAAUGUUAGUCGGUGAGUGAUUAGCGUGUUUGUAGCUCAUUCAUUUAGUAUGGAUGUAAGUUAGUUCUAAUUAUAUAAUUUUGGCUCUGUUUUGUUUUAAAUAAAGGGCCUUGUGAACUGUUUGUUAUAGCUGCUGGUUGAGCUUAAAAUAGCUUCCUAUAGGUGCUGAUUGAUUUGAAUCGUUCCCCUUUAAAAGACUGUUAGAUCUGCCCUUGUGCUGGGAUAAUGCAUCGUUCCAAAAUUUGUGUUUCUUUCAGUUUUAGCUAGUUGUUUUGACUAACUAAGAAUUAUUUCUAAAUGCCUAGUUAGCAGUUAAGAAAUUUCAGAUUACAUCAGUUCCUAUUUUAGCCGCUGAGAAAUUGUCUCAAGUGUUGGUUAUAUCUUGAUCUGGCUAAUAUUGGCUGCUCACAUGUUUAAUUUUGUUCACCUAGAAGAGUAACAAAAUAUACUUUUUUGAUUUAGUAAAAAGGUUGCAAGAUAAUUUGAAAUUGGAAGUCAGUUUAUGUUCUUAUUUUGUCUAGUAAAGCCUAGUUUGAACUUGUCUAUCUUCACUAGCUUAAUAGUAAGUUCCUUCCACCUUUCAGGGUUGAUUUAAGUUUCAAUUAAGGACUUGAAGAGUUGGUUAAUUAUUUUUCCUUCCAUCACUUGGUUUUGAUUUGUCUAUAUUUCUUUAAAUAGUGUCAUUGGUUAGUUUAAAUAGGAACUUGUUGAAUCCAACCAGCUUUUUUCCUUUGUUGCGGGAUUCUGGAAAGUGUGUUGCUAAAGAGUUAGUAUGCCUAAACUACUGGUUGAUGCCCUUUGUUGACAUCAAAUGUGGCUUGGAGGGUUAGCUUUCCCUGGCUAGUUAACUUAUUCUCACAAAAAUGAUUCUUAAGGACUAUUAUGGACAUGUUUUGGGUACCAAAAGAUAACUUUAGCCAUGUUAAGAAUCGAGAAUCUCCCUUAAAGUAAAUACGAUAUUCUACCUCUUAAUCUGUUGUAAAAUCCUUCAUUGAAAUUGGUGUGUGGUUUGUGUGCUAAAGAGUGGCAUGUUCCCCUGAAAGUAAGCUAGUGGUAACUUACCUAGUAAUUAAAAAAUGCUCAGCUGAUCCAUAACUGAUUUUGCUCUCUGAAUGUGUUUCUUUUAACUCAUCAAAUUGUUUCCUCCUUUCUCCUUCACUAUUCUGCACUUUGUUUUAGGAACCAGUAUAGGGAACUAAGCAUUUUCUAGAUCUAUUUGCCUCUGCCUUACUCUUCAUUUUUUAGUACGUUAAUCCUUAAGAGGAGUAAUUAGGUAGCCUUCACUGCUUAUCUUUCUCUGUUUCUUUUAGUAAAACAACAAAUCGCCUUCAACUCUUUUUCAUUUGUGGUGUCCCUAAGUGAUAAUUGAUUGUUUUUUCUAGAUACUUAUAUAGAGUCCAAAAGCUUUCAAAUGUGUUAAGCAUAAUUAGAGGCUGUGUUUUAAUCCUCCUUCAAGGGAUUAAGACAUCAAAUGUUGGUUAGCUAAUCAUCAUGUCUUGACAAAUCUGUUCUUUUAGCAUUCAUGGAGUAACCUAAAGUGUCCAUUCAUUAUGAGAUUAACCCUUUGUCUUAGAAAUAUUAAUAAGGUGUGAUUCGCUAUUUGUUCAAAUAGUAUAUUCAGCCUGCCCUAUCUUUAAAUACCAAUUUAAGACUUGUUUCGAAAGCUGAUAGGUUGGCAGCGACUUCUCCUUCUACUUAUUUCUAGCUCACCUAUUUUCUUAGAAGAUCUCUAUAAAAUCAGCUUCGGGUAUAACUUAUUUACUUCAACAUUUGAUUUCUUUUUUCUUGAAAUAGAAACAAUAGCUUAAGUUACAUGUGUUGUUAACAGAAGUCCUGUUUAGUUCCCUCUAAUGAAUAAUAAGUGAAAGACUAAAAUCAUAGCCUCUUCUUGCUUACGGAUGGAAGUUGUUCUAAGUUCCCUCUUAUAUGAUAAGUGCUAUUAUUAAUUGCUUGAGUUCCAUUUGAGCCUGAAUUCAUGUUGCAUUAAUUGAAUUCUUUAGGUGUUUAGUUCAAAUAAUAGCUUUGUCACAGUUGGAUACUAAUCUUUCUCCUCUUUUUUGGCGCAUGAACGCACCCGAGGGUCUAAUUGGACUUAUGCAUUUUCUCCUCCGCAUUAUCCCGUUGGGCCGGAAGCCCAACAUGCAUUAGAUAGAGUCGCACCACAUGUAUUGAAGGCCCAGUCAUGGGUGAAAAUGACAUAAGUUUAUGGUUGGUGAGCUUGGUUGACGAUCCGCCCUGGAGGUUGCUGUUUAGCUGAUAUGGGAGCACUCCUCUUGUUCUGGAGUUGUAGUCUAGUUUUGUUUUGGUACGAUAUUUUUGAUAUACACAUGGCUAUGGCGGGGCCGUUUCCCCACCUUGUUAUGUGAUACACUCCAGUAGAGGCUUGUAGACAGUCAUGGUAUAGUUAGACGUUGUUUGGUCCUUUCAGCCUACAUUUUUCAUGCAUAGUAUUUCAUGAUGCCCUUGUUGGCUUGCAUAGUUUUUGUCCAGCAUGGUUAUAUAGUAUGUUCUUUCGGGCUCAUCCCUUGUCAGCAUAUUUCUUAUAUGAUUUAGCAGAUUUUCAUUUGAUGACCCUCGCGGUCUACCCCUGUGUCUAUGAUCAUGAUAUGAAAGUAUGAUUAGAGGUGUUCGGCAAGUAGGGCCCGGGUGCCCGUCAUGGCUCCUAAGUUUGGGUCGUGACAAACUUGGUAUCAAAGCAGUUGCGUCCUAGGGCUGUCUACAAGCCGUGUCUAGCAGAGUCUUGUUUAUAAUGUGUCGUGCACCACACUUAUAAAUAGGAGGCUGCAGGGCAUUUAGGAAGAUUGUCCCUCUUUCUUAUCUAUGAUCAUGCGUUAGAGCCGUACCAAGAGGAUUUCUUUUCUAAUAACGUACUGCGAUUUCAGAUAUGCCUGUUGUUGACACCUAAUUUUUGACCUCCAAAAAUUUAAAUUAACUAGGCAAGCUUCUUGAAAUGCAAACGGAGUAAAAGAAUUAUUCAGAAAAUUAAAAAUGCUUCCUAAAAUAGCUUUUGGUGAUAUUUUGCUAUUUUCAUUGGCAAAUCCCUAAUACAUAUUUUGUAUAUUUUACAUAUAACAUUUAGUAUAGAUUAUGUCGAUUUUACCGAUUUGAAAAUCAAGUUGCAUAAAAAAACAAGUAUUUCUAAUUAAGUACGUAUUUUCAACUAAAGUAAUUACUAUAAUUAGUCCAUUAUUAAAAAAAUAAGUGUUUGAAUUUGUUGAGUCAAGAAGCUUGAUUAAUUAAUCAAAUAAUUAAUUCGUCUCAAAUUGAUUAAUUAGAAAAGUUUUAGUUAUGUUGUUAGCCAUUUUUUUAGCUCAGUGUUCAGCCCAAAUUUCACCAAUAUUCGCCCAACCCAAAUCAAAAGACCCAGCCCAAUCUCUCAUUUUAAUUCCCAAAACCAUUUGUUCUUCAUUUACCCAAAUCAGCAACCAAACAAACCCUAAGUCUACAGCUAAGCAAUGUCAUUGUCUCCUUCGACCUCUAUGCACGCGAAAGCCAUUUUGGGCUAAAAAUACAGUGAGUUUCCGCGUCAUCAGCAUUUGUUCCUGCAUUUUUGGCAUAGCUUUUAUGGUUUUUGUUUGUUUUCCCUAAGCCUGAACGGUAAUAUCUGAUUUUAAUUUCUUUUGAUGUUUCCCUCCUUUGCCAAGGAAAAGAUUAGAAUCUUUUCAAAAAGAUGCGGAUUUGAAAUUAAAUUGAACGAAUUUCACUCUGUGAAGAAGUCCCACAUCAUUCAAUUGGAACCCAAAAUCAGUUUUGGGGUUCUAUAAAUAGAACCCCCCAUUUCUCAGUUCAGAGACGGGUUGACACAACAAAUGGGUUUUCACACCUAAAAAUGGGUUUUUACACCCGCAAUAGUGGAAACACUUAGAAACUCGGCUAAGCCUUGAGUUUCGAGGAAGUUUCUUGCUCGUAGUUAAAUUUUUGAAAUUGCUUCCGAUUCAUCGGAAUCUGAUAUGGGUGAAAGGAUGUUCGUCGACUCUCGUUGCCCCUGUCGCUGCUCGGCAAAAAGUCUCAAAUCUCAAAUGAUGUUGCUGCAUUUGUGACCUGCUGCUGCAUUUUGGUGAGCUAUUGUGCCUUUGAGGCAGAUUAUCCCUGCACCUUUGAGGCUAUUGUUGUUGUUGUAUCCUUGAGGACACUGCUGCUACCUGCUGGUGUUGUGCUCAAAAUAUAUUUGCUGCUUUUGAUGUAUUUUGAGACUCAUCAUGCUCUGCUACUCUGCUACUGUUUACAUGCAUCAUGCCCAGCUUGCUAUAUGGCAUUUUUAAGGCAAACUUUGCUACAUUUUGGGUAUUCAGUUGAGACAUUUUGAUGAGAACAAAUAUUACAUUUGAGCUGCCAUGAUGUUUGCUAUGGCUCUGGUGCAUUUUGAGGCUGAAAAUACCACAUUCGUGAGACACAUUUGGGGCCAUUUGCUGUUGCAUCCCUGGGAUCAAUGUUGCUGCCUUUUAAUGCAAAAUGGCUGCUAUCUUCUAUUGAAGUUCGAAGCAUUAUUGCUACAUUUGACUGCAACAUUUUUGGCUGAUAUACAGAUGCUACAUCUUUAUGAGAAAUAGAUUUCUACACUUGAUGAAUUCGCUGAUUUGAACAUACACUACACUUGGGGCCGAUGAGAAGAUUUAAUUUGAGGCCAUGCCUUUGCGGAAAGGUUAUCCCUCGGUUUAGGCGAUAAUCACCUCAUAAUAAUAUCACGAGGCAGGAACCAACAUGCGUUUGGCGAGGCAACUAGAAUGGCCACUAGUUUGCAGCCAAGACAUGUUUCAGAUUCCUUUGCCACAUUCGGAAAUAUGAGUCUGAGCCUCCGUAAUCAAAGCUCUCAAAGUUUAAUGCGAGUCUGAGGGAUAUUAUUAUUAUGUUCAUAAACAUCACCCUAUGGGGUGGCGUAUCAUUUUAACUAACUACUUUUCUCUUCAUUGUGCGAGGUACAAAUAAAGCGAAUCUAUGAAGCAAAGCUUAAAGACGAAGUAAAAAAAUCAGAUGCUUAGAGCUUUGGAGUGUUUGGAGCUUCGGACGAAGAACUAGAAAGAGUGUAGAAGAUCUAUUGGAAUAGGAUUGCUAAAGGAUUUGGACCAAAAAGCUAAACUUUCUUUUCCUUCGGCUCAUUAUAUGUUUACAUUAGUUUUGUAUGAACAUGUGAAAAAUACAUUUGUGUUGAUAUUGAAACCCUUAUAAGUUGGAACCUAGGAUUUAGGUAAAUGAUACGGAUAGGGACUCGAAUAUGUUUCAAAGUGGACCCAAAAUCCAUUUGUUUAAAAGUAAAUAAAAGUGAAAAAAUAUUUUUCUGAUAUAAAAAAUCUGAUUACCUUUAAAUAAUAUCUUUAAAGUAUAAGCAAUUAAUUAAUAAAUUUUAUCAGUAUUAUAAUUAAAACGUAACUCUUUAAGAAUAAAAAUAAAAUUACUUUCAAAUAGCGAAAUAAUAAAUGUGAUAAUUUUGAUGCAUAGGACAAAAGACCAAUGAUAAGUGAAAAUAUUAAAAUUCGCCUAUGUAUUUUUUAAAAAAAUAUUAAGUAAUAUUCACUCUCAUGAUGUUCUCAAAUAGUAAAUCUGCAAUACUACGACUUUUUAUUUAAGUUACACCUAAUCUUCUUAUUUGUAUAGAUGAAAAACUAUUAAGUAGUAUUCAUUUGUUAAAGAAUUAUGAGGGUCAACGAUUUUAAUUAAAGAAUUCAAUAUAUAAUUUAUGUAAGAACUGUUAGGUGAGCACUGGGCGUUGGGCGUUAUGCGAGUUUAGGGCGUACAGUCUGGCGCUUAGGGCGUAAGCCUCGCACGUGAGCCUCGGAACGUUUUACCAGUGCCUCACCCCUAAGCGAGUACUGAAACUGCCUUUUAAAACGUUGGUUUUGUCCAGUACUAUAUAUACUUAACUAUUGACAUGUGACAUAUAGUACAAUCUAUGAACCAAAUAUCUCCAAUAUUGACAACGACCCCUUCUUUCGUUCUUUCUUCCUCUCCACAUCCCAAUAACUAAUGCCACAAACUCUUAAUUUUGGACAAUAGUCAUGAAUCCCGUUGUCCAAUGAUCUUCUAAAAAUGAUUUCUUCUAGAAUAGUAGGAGAAUCUUAUAAAUUCUUGAGAAAUUAUAAUAAAAUAUAGAAAAUUAUGAAUAGCUUUUGCAUCCAUUUCGCGCCUAGAAUUUGAUAAAUUGCUCCAAGCUACAGUUUAAGCACCAGAGUCCCUGAGCUAAUAUCAAUAAUAGUUGAUUCAAAGAAAGUUCUUUCUAGAGCCUAUUUUGUCUUAUUUUCUGAUUCAAUUCCGCUGUUAGGGUGAGCUAACUCCAAAAAGCCCGUCCACAGUAUUUCAAGCCGCAACUUGCCUACAUGAAGCCUGAAUCACUAAUAAUCGCGGGUCAACCAUUGCAAGUACAUUUCAACACCGACAAAGAGAUUGAAGAAGAUAGUUAAAUGAAAAAAAAAUAUGUAACACCAAAGUACUUCAGUUUAUUAGAAUGAAAGAACACAAUGAAAUUGAGAAGCCGCAAGGAAAGAAAUUAAAAAAGAAAAUAUCUAACACACAUUUGUGCCAAAGCUACUAGAUUUAGAUUGACUCAUAAUCAAAGUGGUAUGAUGAUUUUGCAAUGUAAAUAACUAAUUUAUACAUUUGAGCCAAAAUUGCUAAAUCUAGAUGGACUCAUAACAUACACUCUACAUCUGUCGCUGAGAACAGACAUGAGAAGACGAGAAGACGAGAAGACAUGAAGAUUGAAACUUAGAGCACUAGCAGCGCAUUGAUUCCUUAAUUCAAAUCUAAAUACUGCGAAAACAUUAACACAUUGUUAUAUUUUUGAGCAGUUGUUGAUUGUUCAUUUACCCCUCAACGAUGAUUAUACUAGAGGUGGCAAAAUUAGCUAGUGAAAUCUAACCCGCUCAAUCCGUUCAAGUUUGGGACCUGCUCAUUUAUUAGCUUAGCUCAUUUCAGCCCAUCAAAAGUUGGGCUGAUAUGUAGUCCAAAUUAACUCAUGAGAAAUCUUUUCAAAAUCUUUUUAAUUUUUCUUAUUUGAUAUGUUAUAUAUAUAGUCAUAAUAAUAAUAAUAAUAAAAAAUAUAAGGUACUAAAAUAUUAUAAAAGAAUAAGUAAAGCAAUUAAAACUUAGUAAGAAUAGGGCAGGUUGGAUUAUGACCCGCAUUUUAGCACAUUUCGGCUCUACCCUUUUCAGCUCAAGUAACUUUUUGGUGGGUCAAUAACCCGUAAAUAUAUUAAUUCGGCUCAUUUUGACCCGCUCAAAUUUGGAUCGACCCGCCUAUUUGACACCUCUAAAUAAUAUGAACAAAUAAACGACACGACCAGCUCAAGCAACACCUGUCGCUUUGGCCGAGUGGUUAAGGCGUGUGCCUGCUAAGUACAUGGGGUUUCCCCGCGAGAGUUCGAAUCUCUCAGGCGACGCUUUUUUUUUUUUUCCUUGUUUGGUCCCCAUUCUGUUUGUUUUAUAUAUAAACUGUUUGGACAUAUAUGUGUAUUUUGGAUUGGAUUGGUCGAUAGUAUAAGGCCAACUAGAAUAGUCUUUCCUUUCUUAUAAAUGGGUUCUUGUUAUGAAUCCAAUGUAUUUGGUGGAUGUCCACUCAAUGAAGGUUCUACUUAUACAUGAAUAUAAUUGAUGUCCUAAUUAAGACUUUUCUAAUUUAGGAUAAACCCAUUUCAAGUUAGAAUAUCACAGAUCGUUAAGUAGAUGUUAUGGUCUUCAAGUUUAAUUUGGUUCAUGGCAGCCCAUAACUUGGCAUCAAUGCCACUCCGUAGAGGGCAGCUUGUAAAUUAAUUAAAGAUGUUAGUUUCCCCGCGAGAGUUCGAAUCUCUCAGGCGACGCUUUUUUUUUUUUUUCCUUGUUUGGUCCCCAUUCUGUUUGUUUUAUAUAUAAACUGUUUGGACAUAUAUGUGUAUUUUGGAUUGGAUUGGUCGAUAGUAUAAGGCCAACUAGAAUAGUCUUUCCUUUCUUAUAAAUGGGUUCUUGUUAUGAAUCCAAUGUAUUUGGUGGAUGUCCACUCAAUGAAGGUUCUACUUAUACAUGAAUAUAAUUGAUGUCCUAAUUAAGACUUUUCUAGUUUAGGAUAAACCCAUUUCAAGUUAGAAUAUCACAGAUCGUUAAGUAGAUGUUAUGGUCUUCAAGUUUAAUUUGGUUCAUGGCAGCCCAUAACUUGGCAUCAAUGCCACUCCGUAGAGGGCAGCUUGUAAAUUAAUUAAAGAUGUUAGUCUCUUUUGGAGGAAAAAAAGCAUAAAAUGUUACUCCCUCCGAUCCGUCCCAAUUUAUAUGAGGGUAUUUGAUUGGACACAAAAUUUAAGAAAUGAAGACUUUUGAAUUUUGUGGUCUAAGCAAGCCAAAAAUAUUUUUGUGGUUAGAAAUCAUUUCAUUAAGGAUAAAAUGAAAAUUUAGAGUUCAAUUAUUGCUAAAUAUAGAAAGUUUUUAUUUGUCUUGGACUGACUAAAACAGAAAGAGUGUUAUAUAAAUUGGGAUGGAGGAAUGUAAGUUUCAUGAGCCAUAUUUCUUGGCAUCUUCAUUCAAUUAAGUAUAUGAACUAAAGAACAAACACUUGUUUGUUAUGAAAUAUAUUAAUGUGGAUGUCCAUGUAGUUUCCCCCACUACUCUUCACUAUUAUGUCUCACCUCCUUCAUGUUUAUAACUCUUGAAGAAGUAACUCCCAUUACUUCAUGACCCCUACUCCCACACUUUAUUUCUAUAACCCCCAAAUGUUAUUACCCAUGUUUAUGACACACCUUCUCAAUGUAUUCCUAUAAAUAGUAGGAUUGAAUGUAAUGGUUGUACACUUGAACACACUUGGAUGAAUAAGAAAGUUCUCAUCUCUUGUCUCUCUAUUUCUAUUGUUUUCAUCCUUUUAUAUUGUUACCCUUUUAGCUUGAUUUUACAAUACGAUAUCAGCACAAGUCUCUAACCAAGUGAGAUGGCAUAGUCUUUUUCCUAAAGGAGUUGAGCUAAAUUUCGUGCUGUUCAGCCUCCAAGGAAACCAAAAGAUAGAUACUAAUGGUUGGCUAAUCUUUGUCCAUGAAUUCCAUUUAUGGGCCAGGGAGGUAUGAGAUUGAGGUCAUUGGAGGCCGUUUGGUGGGUGUUCUAGACUUUGCAAAGUGGAACUUGUCAUUAGCGAGGGGUAUUUGAAGUGGCGGGUCGAGGAUCUUACUGAGUUAUAUUUAUGUAUAACUCACUCCUUACCUGCAUGUCCAUGCAGAUACUGUCGUUGAGAACGAGGCUGGUAAUUGAAGACUUCGUGAGUGGAUUCUGUUGCUGAGGUGAGCCACCACAUUGUUCGUGGAGGCAACCAUUUCAGCUUUAUUCUGUUUAUUUCUAGUUAUUUCUUUUAUUUUGGGUUUACAUGCCCGACACUCAAACUCAUGUAACUCUGUUAGAUGCUCCAUGGUCUUAGCGUGUGAUGUGGGCUAGAGAUUCUUUUUAUCUUAGCGUUGAUUGGUUUUCAUAAAUCGAUUAUGGAUUUGGUUGGCGACUAUUUCACAUUUUUAUCAUUAAUAAUGUUGUUGGACCUGCACUUAUUUUCUUUUAGUGCUUUUGUAAAUAGUUAAGAGUAUGAUAUAUGGUUCGCCUGGCGGGUGGUGGUUGCUGGGUGCCAAUCACGUCUAGCGGGUAUUUUGGGACGUGACAAGACCUCGAGAAGUUCUAUAAGUACUAAUUAUUUCAUGCAUCAAUGUGUUAUCAAACUUUUCAUUUUGAUA